AAUUUUGGACAAGGGGCGCGAGCCUGAUCCAGCCAUGCCGCGUGAGUGAAGAAGGCCANAGGGUUNUNAAGCUCCUUUGGACGGANAAAAAACGCGCAGGCUAAUACCCUGCGCGGAUGACGGUACCGUCAUAAGAAGCACCGGCUAACUACGUGCCAUCAGCCGCGGUAAUACGUAUGGUGCGAGCGUCAAUCGGAAUUACCGGGCGUAAAGCGUGCGCAGGCGGUUGAUUAAAACGGACGUCAAAUCCCCGGGCUUAACCUGGGAACUGCGCUUGUGACUGGUCAGCUAGAGUACGGCAGAGGGGGGUGGAAUUCCACGUGUAGCAGUGAAAUGCGUAGAGAUGUGGAGGAACACCGAUGGCGAAGGCAGCCCCCUGGGCCGAUACUGACGCUCAUGCACGAAAGCGUGGGUAGCAAACAGG
Molecule: ribosomal RNA, 424 nt
Filed under: uncultured bacterium
Lineage: Bacteria
Description: partial 16S ribosomal RNA
Rfam family: Bacterial small subunit ribosomal RNA
Source: RNAcentral